RNAcentral lists this ribosomal RNA (497 nucleotides) under uncultured bacterium. RNAcentral describes it as "partial 16S ribosomal RNA". It matches the Rfam family "Bacterial small subunit ribosomal RNA", at positions 28 to 507 of the family's 1533-position model. The record is from RNAcentral.
GACGAACGCUGGCGGCGUGCCUAAUACAUGCAAGUUGAGCGCUGAAGGUUGGUACUUGUACCAACUGGAUGAGCAGCGAACGGGUGAGUAACGCGUGGGGAAUCUGCCUUUGAGCGGGGGACAACAUUUGGAAACGAAUGCUAAUACCGCAUAAAAACUUUAAACACAAGUUUUAAGUUUGAAAGAUGCAAUUGCAUCACUCAAAGAUGAUCCCGCGUUGUAUUAGCUAGUUGGUGAGGUAAAGGCUCACCAAGGCGAUGAUACAUAGCCGACCUGAGAGGGUGAUCGGCCACAUUGGGACUGAGACACGGCCCAAACGCCUACGGGAGGCAGCAGUAGGGAAUCUUCGGCAAUGGACGAAAGUCUGACCGAGCAACGCCGCGUGAGUGAAGAAGGUUUUCAGAUCGUAAAACUCGGUUGGUAGAGAAGAACGUUGGUGGGAGUGGAAAGCUCAUCAAGUGACGGUAACUACCCAGAAAGGGACGGCUAACUACGUG